AGAGAGAGAGAGAGAGAGAGAGAGAGAGAGAGAGAGAGAGAGAUAGCGCACGCCUCCAGAAUUUGUGUGUAUCUCAAAUGUGUAGUUCCACUCUGGCCACUUUCCACAGUGUGACAACAGCAGAAAACUCUCCAUCUCCACUUAUUCUGUUGUUGUAAUAUGGUGUGGUCAGAGUCUUCCCUGUCACCUCUUCCCCAGUACUCACCCAGUGAGAGCAAGUAUCCACCUCACUGGCCGCCUCCCUCUAGCAUUCCUUCACUUCAUUCAUACAAACUUGCCCAGAGUAGUAAAAAUGAUCAGACAACUUCCUCCAAAGAUCACAUUCCAAAAUCUUGGUCUUUGUGGAACUCCUCAUAAAAAGCAGUUUAUUAGUCCAAAUGCCAAUAAUUCAUUUCACAUGAAAUUCACUGGAAUUUGUGGCACCAUUAUUUGGAGAAACCAUAAACAUUUACAGACUCAUUCACUUUCAUUGUUACCAUUUGUCCACACCACCUUACUGUAUUUCAGAUUAUUACAGCAAAACAGAUGAUGAUGUCCUGAACUAUUCUCUCAAAGCCCCCAUCCCACUCCACACAUCACUACUCUGUGCAGGACAAAAGUUGCUGAGGUCAUGGAAUAUCAUCCUGACCUCUUGUCGUCUUCUGGAGAUAUUCUGCCGCUCCUGAAGAAUAUGUGGCACUUGACGCACCUCGCAUAACUCACUGCUUCCUUGCCAUACAUGUGCUAAAUCAUAUCAAAGGUCUCUGCUGGAUCUGAUACACAAUUUGGUGUUAAUUCUGCUCUUAUUUGCAAUUCAUGAUGAAAUAUGAAGUUCAGCAUGAGGCCACAAAACUCAUGUGACAUGGCUCACAAAGUUCACAGAAAGACACCAACUGGCAGACUGCUUGAUAACUGCCACUGUCCAGUCCCAUCGGACAUGCAUCCCUGUACAGCCACCUGUUGGUGUACUAUGGAACUAGUCUUGGGGCUUUGAUACCACCUCACACUUAAGUUUAUCCUUCAAUCCCAACAUGUCAGUGGUAGAUGAGGUAAUUUCAUUCUUGUGUAUAGAUUCCUUUAGUUAUAAGGAAUAUGUAUUAUGUUGCUGAGACACUCAUUCUGUGCCUCUCUGAGAUGAAUAAUGUAUAAUAAAAGCUAAGCUAAGCAACAA
Scylla paramamosain (green mud crab) is the source of this 1150-nucleotide long non-coding RNA. RefSeq lists it as uncharacterized. Lineage: Eukaryota; Metazoa; Arthropoda; Malacostraca; Decapoda; Portunidae. The transcript has 2 exons. The record is from RefSeq and is a predicted model, not a curated record.